This 492-nucleotide ribosomal RNA is filed under the name Salmonella enterica subsp. enterica serovar Enteritidis. Its description in RNAcentral is "partial 23S ribosomal RNA". It matches the Rfam family "Bacterial large subunit ribosomal RNA", at positions 62 to 591 of the family's 2925-position model. Lineage: Bacteria; Pseudomonadati; Pseudomonadota; Gammaproteobacteria; Enterobacterales; Enterobacteriaceae. The record is from RNAcentral.
UAAUCUGCGAUAAGCGCCGGUAAGGUGAUAUGAACCGUUAUAACCGGCGAUACCCGAAUGGGGAAACCCAGUGUGACUCGUCACACUAUCAUUAACUGAAUCCAUAGGUUAAUGAGGCGAACCGGGGGAACUGAAACAUCUAAGUACCCCGAGGAAAAGAAAUCAACCGAGAUUCCCCCAGUAGCGGCGAGCGAACGGGGAGGAGCCCAGAGCCUGAAUCAGCAUGUGUGUUAGUGGAAGCGUCUGGAAAGGCGCGCGAUACAGGGUGACAGCCCCGUACACAAAAGCGCAUGUGCUGUGAGCUCGAUGAGUAGGGCGGGACACGUGGUAUCCUGUCUGAAUAUGGGGGGACCAUCCUCCAAGGCUAAAUACUCCUGACUGACCGAUAGUGAACCAGUACCGUGAGGGAAAGGCGAAAAGAACCCCGGCGAGGGGAGUGAAAAAGAACCUGAAACCGUGUACGUACAAGCAGUGGGAGCACAGGUUUACCUG